AGGGGUAUAGUUCAGUGGUGAAGCACAUGCUUAGCAUGUGCUGGGUCCUGGGUUCAAUUCCUAGUACCUCCU
This 72-nucleotide transfer RNA is filed under the name Camelus bactrianus (Bactrian camel). It matches the Rfam family "tRNA". Rfam says of the family: Transfer RNA (tRNA) molecules are approximately 80 nucleotides in length. Their secondary structure includes four short double-helical elements and three loops (D, anti-codon, and T loops). The record is from Rfam by way of RNAcentral. Lineage: Eukaryota; Metazoa; Chordata; Mammalia; Artiodactyla; Camelidae. RNAcentral also lists the same sequence under 2 other names.